Molecule: ribosomal RNA, 2990 nt
Filed under: Salmonella enterica
Lineage: Bacteria; Pseudomonadati; Pseudomonadota; Gammaproteobacteria; Enterobacterales; Enterobacteriaceae
Description: bacterial LSU rRNA
Rfam family: Bacterial large subunit ribosomal RNA
Source: RNAcentral
UUAAGCGACUAAGCGUACACGGUGGAUGCCCUGGCAGUCAGAGGCGAUGAAGGACGUGCUAAUCUGCGAUAAGCGCCGGUAAGGUGAUAUGAACCGUUAUAACCGGCGAUUUCCGAAUGGGGAAACCCAGUGUGACUCGUCACACUAUCAUUAACUGAAUCCAUAGGUUAAUGAGGCGAACCGGGGGAACUGAAACAUCUAAGUACCCCGAGGAAAAGAAAUCAACCGAGAUUCCCCCAGUAGCGGCGAGCGAACGGGGAGGAGCCCAGAGCCUGAAUCAGCAUGUGUGUUAGUGGAAGCGUCUGGAAAGGCGCGCGAUACAGGGUGACAGCCCCGUACACAAAAGCGCAUGUGCUGUGAGCUCGAUGAGUAGGGCGGGACACGUGGUAUCCUGUCUGAAUAUGGGGGGACCAUCCUCCAAGGCUAAAUACUCCUGACUGACCGAUAGUGAACCAGUACCGUGAGGGAAAGGCGAAAAGAACCCCGGCGAGGGGAGUGAAAAAGAACCUGAAACCGUGUACGUACAAGCAGUGGGAGCACAGGUUUACCUGUGUGACUGCGUACCUUUUGUAUAAUGGGUCAGCGACUUAUAUUCUGUAGCAAGGUUAACCGCAUAGGGGAGCCGGAGGGAAACCGAGUCUUAAUUGGGCGUUAAGUUGCAGGGUAUAGACCCGAAACCCGGUGAUCUAGCCAUGGGCAGGUUGAAGGUUGGGUAACACUAACUGGAGGACCGAACCGACUAAUGUUGAAAAAUUAGCGGAUGACCUGUGGCUGGGGGUGAAAGGCCAAUCAAACCGGGAGAUAGCUGGUUCUCCCCGAAAGCUAUUUAGGUAGCGCCUCGUGAAUUCAUCUCCGGGGGUAGAGCACUGUUUCGGCUAGGGGGCCAUCCCGGCUUACCAACCCGAUGCAAACUGCGAAUACCGGAGAAUGUUAUCACGGGAGACACACGGCGGGUGCUAACGUCCGUCGUGAAGAGGGAAACAACCCAGACCGCCAGCUAAGGUCCCAAAGUCAUGGUUAAGUGGGAAACGAUGUGGGAAGGCCCAGACAGCCAGGAUGUUGGCUUAGAAGCAGCCAUCAUUUAAAGAAAGCGUAAUAGCUCACUGGUCGAGUCGGCCUGCGCGGAAGAUGUAACGGGGCUAAACCAUGCACCGAAGCUGCGGCAGCGAACGUAUCACCCAAGACAACUUUGCGGAGUUGACGAUUGACGGAGCGAAGCGACGUCAAAGCGUUCAUUAAAGUCGAGUUGGCUUAGGGAUACGUUCGUUGGGUAGGGGAGCGUUCUGUAAGCCUGCGAAGGUGGCCUGUGAGGGUUGCUGGAGGUAUCAGAAGUGCGAAUGCUGACAUAAGUAACGAUAAAGCGGGUGAAAAGCCCGCUCGCCGGAAGACCAAGGGUUCCUGUCCAACGUUAAUCGGGGCAGGGUGAGUCGACCCCUAAGGCGAGGCCGAAAGGCGUAGUCGAUGGGAAACGGGUUAAUAUUCCCGUACUUGGUGUUACUGCGAAGGGGGGACGGAGAAGGCUAUGUUGGCCGGGCGACGGUUGUCCCGGUUUAAGCGUGUAGGUGUGUGUUCCAGGUAAAUCCGGUUCACUUUAACACUGAGGCGUGACGACGAGGCACUACGGUGCUGAAGCAACAAAUGCCCUGCUUCCAGGAAAAGCCUCUAAGCAUCAGGUAACAUCAAAUCGUACCCCAAACCGACACAGGUGGUCAGGUAGAGAAUACCAAGGCGCUUGAGAGAACUCGGGUGAAGGAACUAGGCAAAAUGGUGCCGUAACUUCGGGAGAAGGCACGCUGACACGUAGGUGAAGUGAUUUACUCAUGGAGCUGAAGUCAGUCGAAGAUACCAGCUGGCUGCAACUGUUUAUUAAAAACACAGCACUGUGCAAACACGAAAGUGGACGUAUACGGUGUGACGCCUGCCCGGUGCCGGAAGGUUAAUUGAUGGGGUCAGCGCAAGCGAAGCUCCUGAUCGAAGCCCCGGUAAACGGCGGCCGUAACUAUAACGGUCCUAAGGUAGCGAAAUUCCUUGUCGGGUAAGUUCCGACCUGCACGAAUGGCGUAAUGAUGGCCAGGCUGUCUCCACCCGAGACUCAGUGAAAUUGAACUCGCUGUGAAGAUGCAGUGUACCCGCGGCAAGACGGAAAGACCCCGUGAACCUUUACUAUAGCUUGACACUGAACAUUGAGCCUUGAUGUGUAGGAUAGGUGGGAGGCUUUGAAGUGUGGACGCCAGUCUGCAUGGAGCCGACCUUGAAAUACCACCCUUUAAUGUUUGAUGUUCUAACGUGGACCCGUGAUCCGGGUUGCGGACAGUGUCUGGUGGGUAGUUUGACUGGGGCGGUCUCCUCCUAAAGAGUAACGGAGGAGCACGAAGGUUGGCUAAUCCUGGUCGGACAUCAGGAGGUUAGUGCAAUGGCAUAAGCCAGCUUGACUGCGAGCGUGACGGCGCGAGCAGGUGCGAAAGCAGGUCAUAGUGAUCCGGUGGUUCUGAAUGGAAGGGCCAUCGCUCAACGGAUAAAAGGUACUCCGGGGAUAACAGGCUGAUACCGCCCAAGAGUUCAUAUCGACGGCGGUGUUUGGCACCUCGAUGUCGGCUCAUCACAUCCUGGGGCUGAAGUAGGUCCCAAGGGUAUGGCUGUUCGCCAUUUAAAGUGGUACGCGAGCUGGGUUUAGAACGUCGUGAGACAGUUCGGUCCCUAUCUGCCGUGGGCGCUGGAGAACUGAGGGGGGCUGCUCCUAGUACGAGAGGACCGGAGUGGACGCAUCACUGGUGUUCGGGUUGUCAUGCCAAUGGCACUGCCCGGUAGCUAAAUGCGGAAGAGAUAAGUGCUGAAAGCAUCUAAGCACGAAACUUGCCCCGAGAUGAGUUCUCCCUGAGACUUUAGGUCUCCUGAAGGAACGUUGAAGACGACGACGUUGAUAGGCCGGGUGUGUAAGCGCAGCGAUGCGUUGAGCUAACCGGUACUAAUGAACCGUGAGGCUUAACCUU